Molecule: transfer RNA, 64 nt
Filed under: marine eukaryotic metagenome
Rfam family: tRNA
About the family: Transfer RNA (tRNA) molecules are approximately 80 nucleotides in length.
Source: RNAcentral
GUCGUAGCUCAGCUGGUAGAGCACCGGCUUGUGGAGCCGGUUGUCGUGGGUUCGAUCCCCAUCG